Molecule: ribosomal RNA, 465 nt
Filed under: Vreelandella stevensii
Lineage: Bacteria; Pseudomonadati; Pseudomonadota; Gammaproteobacteria; Oceanospirillales; Halomonadaceae
Description: partial 16S ribosomal RNA
Rfam family: Bacterial small subunit ribosomal RNA
Source: RNAcentral
CCUACGGGAGGCUGCAGUGGGGAAUAUUGGACAAUGGGGGCAACCCUGAUCCAGCCAUGCCGCGUGUGUGAAGAAGGCCCUCGGGUUGUAAAGCACUUUCAGUGAGGAAGAACGCCUGGUGGUUAAUACCCAUCAGGAAAGACAUCACUCACAGAAGAAGCACCGGCUAACUCCGUGCCAGCAGCCGCGGUAAUACGGAGGGUGCGAGCGUUAAUCGGAAUUACUGGGCGUAAAGCGCGCGUAGGUGGCUUGAUAAGCCGGUUGUGAAAGCCCCGGGCUCAACCUGGGAACGGCAUCCGGAACUGUCAAGCUAGAGUGCAGGAGAGGAAGGUAGAAUUCCCGGUGUAGCGGUGAAAUGCGUAGAGAUCGGGAGGAAUACCAGUGGCGAAGGCGGCCUUCUGGACUGACACUGACACUGAGGUGCGAAAGCGUGGGUAGCAAACAGGAUUAGAUACCCUUGUAGUA